GUGAAGCGGGAAAAGCUCAAAUUUAAAAUCUGGCAGUCCUUGGCUGUCCGAGUUGUAAUCUAGAGAAGUGUUAUCCGCGCUGGACCGUGUACAAGUCUCCUGGAAUGGAGCGUCACAGAGGGUGAGAAUCCCGUCUUUGACACGGACUGCCAGGGCUUUGUGAUGCACUCUCGAAGAGUCGAGUUGUUUGGGAAUGCAGCUCAAAAUGGGUGGUAAAUUCCAUCUAAAGCUAAAUAUUGGCGAGAGACCGAUAGCGAACAAGUACCGUGAGGGAAAGAUGAAAAGAACUUUGGAAAGAGAGUUAAACAGUGCGUGAAAUUGCUGAAAGGGAAACGCUUGAAGUCAGUCGCGUUAUCCAGGGAUCAACCUUGCUUUUGCUUGGUGCACUUUCUGGUUGACGGGUCAGCAUCAAUUUUGACCAUUAGAAAAAGAUCAAGGGAAUGUGGCAUCUUUGGAUGUGUUAUAGCCCUUGGUUGUAUGCAAUGGUUGGGAUUGAGGAACUCAGCACGCCGCAAGGCCGGGUUUUAACCACGUACGUGCUUAGGAUGCUGGCAUAAUGGCUUUAAUCGACCCGUCUUGAAACACGGACCAAGGAGUCUAACAUGCCUGCGAGUGUUUGGGUGGAAAACCCGAGCGCGUAAUGAAAGUGAAAGUUGAGAUCCCUGUCAUGGGGAGCAUCGACGCCCGGACCAGACCUUUUGUGACGGUUCCGCGGUAGAGCAUGUAUGUUGGGACCCGAAAGAUGGUGAACUAUGCCUGAAUAGGGUGAAGCCAGAGGAAACUCUGGUGGAGGCUCGUAGCGAUUCUGACGUGCAAAUCGAU
This 822-nucleotide ribosomal RNA is filed under the name Cortinarius sp. PDD 96968. RNAcentral describes it as "partial large subunit ribosomal RNA". It matches the Rfam family "Eukaryotic large subunit ribosomal RNA", at positions 93 to 902 of the family's 3401-position model. Lineage: Eukaryota; Fungi; Basidiomycota; Agaricomycetes; Agaricales; Cortinariaceae. The record is from RNAcentral.